RNAcentral lists this ribosomal RNA (527 nucleotides) under uncultured archaeon. RNAcentral describes it as "bacterial SSU rRNA". It matches the Rfam family "Archaeal small subunit ribosomal RNA", at positions 472 to 997 of the family's 1478-position model. The record is from RNAcentral.
AACACCGGCGGCCCGAGUGGUGAUCGUGAUUAUUGGGUCUAAAGGGUCCGUAGCCGGUUUGGUCAGUCCUCCGGGAAAUCUGAUAGCUCAACUAUUAGGCUUUCGGGGGAUACUGCCAGACUUGGAACCGGGAGAGGUAAGAGGUACUACAGGGGUAGGAGUGAAAUCUUGUAAUCCCUGUGGGACCACCUGUGGCGAAGGCGUCUUACCAGAACGGGUUCGACGGUGAGGGACGAAAGCUGGGGGCACGAACCGGAUUAGAUACCCGGGUAGUCCCAGCCGUAAACGAUGCUCGCUAGGUGUCAGGCAUGGCGCGACCGUGUCUGGUGCCGCAGGGAAGCCGUGAAGCGAGCCACCUGGGAAGUACGGCCGCAAGGCUGAAACUUAAAGGAAUUGGCGGGGGAGCACAACAACGGGUGGAGCCCUGCGGUUUAAUUGGACUCAACGCCGGACAACUCACCGGGGGCGACAGCAAUAUGUAGGCCAAGCUGAAGACUUUGCCUGAAUCGCUGAGGAGUGGUGCAUGG